This 497-nucleotide ribosomal RNA is filed under the name uncultured bacterium. RNAcentral describes it as "partial 16S ribosomal RNA". It matches the Rfam family "Bacterial small subunit ribosomal RNA", at positions 28 to 507 of the family's 1533-position model. The record is from RNAcentral.
GAUGAACGCUGGCGGCGUGCCUAAUACACGCAAGUCGAGCGAACGGACGAGAAGCUUGCUUCUCUGAUGUUAGCGGCGGACGGGUGAGUAACACGUGGAUAACCUACCUAUAAGACUGGGAUAACUUCGGGAAACCGGAGCUAAUACCGGAUAAUAUUUUGAACCGCAUGGUUCAAAAGUGAAAGACGGUCUUGCUGUCACUUAUAGAUGGAUCCGCGCUGCAUUAGCUAGUUGGUAAGGUAACGGCUUACCAAGGCAACGAUGCAUAGCCGACCUGAGAGGGUGAUCGGCCACACUGGAACUGAGACACGGUCCAGACUCCUACGGGAGGCAGCAGUAGGGAAUCUUCCGCAAUGGGCGAAAGCCUGACGGAGCAACGCCGCGUGAGUGAUGAAGGUCCUCGGAUCGUAAAACUCUGUUAUUAGGGAAGAACAUAUGUGUAAGUAACUGUGCACAUCUUGACGGUACCUAAUCAGAAAGCCACGGCUAACUACGUG